AUGCCUAACACAUGCAAGUCGAACGAGACCUUCGGGUCUAGUGGCGCACGGGUGCGUAACACGUGGGAAUUUGCCUCGGGGUAUGGAAUAACUCAGGGAAACUUGAGCUAAUACCAUAUAAUGUCUUCGGACCAAAGAUUUAUCGCCCUGAGAUAAGCCCGCGUAGGAUUAGCUAGUUGGNGAGGUAAAGGCUCACCAAGGCGACGAUCCUUAGCUGGUCUGAGAGGACGACCAGCCACACUGGGACUGAGACACGGCCCAGACUCCUACGGGAGGCAGCAGUGGGGGAAUUUUGGACAAUGGGCGCAAGCCUGAUCCAGCAAUGCCGCGUGCAGGAUGAAGGCCUUCGGGUUGUAAACUGCUUUUGUACGGAACGAAACGGUGAGCUCUAAUACAGUUUGCUAAUGACGGUACCGUAAGAAUAAGCACCGGCUAACUACGUG
Molecule: ribosomal RNA, 443 nt
Filed under: uncultured bacterium
Lineage: Bacteria
Description: bacterial SSU rRNA
Rfam family: Bacterial small subunit ribosomal RNA
Source: RNAcentral